GCACCUGUAGCUCAGCUGGAUAGAGCACAAGAUUCCGAUUCUUGGUGCCGCAGGUUCGACUCCUGUCAGGUGCGCCA
Molecule: transfer RNA, 77 nt
Filed under: Clostridia bacterium
Lineage: Bacteria; Bacillati; Bacillota; Clostridia
Also listed under: 1 other name
Description: tRNA-Arg
Rfam family: tRNA
About the family: Transfer RNA (tRNA) molecules are approximately 80 nucleotides in length. Their secondary structure includes four short double-helical elements and three loops (D, anti-codon, and T loops).
Source: RNAcentral